This 422-nucleotide ribosomal RNA is filed under the name uncultured bacterium. RNAcentral describes it as "bacterial SSU rRNA". It matches the Rfam family "Bacterial small subunit ribosomal RNA", at positions 355 to 774 of the family's 1533-position model. The record is from RNAcentral.
UAAGGAAUAUUGGUCAAUGGACGCAAGUCUGAACCAGCCAUGCCGCGUGGAGGAUUAAGGCCCUCUGGGUUGUAAACUCCUUUUAUCUGGGAAGAAAUGUACUUUUUCUUGAGUACUUGACGGUACCAGAGGAAUAAGCACCGGCUAACUCCGUGCCAGCAGCCGCGGUAAUACGGAGGGUGCAAGCGUUAUCCGGAUUCACUGGGUUUAAAGGGUGCGUAGGUGGGCAGGUAAGUCAGUGGUGAAAUCUCCGGGCUUAACCCGGAAACUGCCGUUGAUACUGUUUGUCUUGAAUAUUGUGGAGGUAAGCGGAAUAUGUCAUGUAGCGGUGAAAUGCUUAGAUAUGACAUAGAACACCAAUUGCGAAGGCAGCUUACUACACAAUCAUUGACGCUGAGGCACGAAAGCGUGGGGAUCAAACA